UGAAACAGGAGUGCUUUAUGGUCUGAGUGGAGUGUUUGGGAGGAGUGCCUCCCGGCUCCUGCCUUCGGGCUCACCUGAGCGGGGGCGCAGCUGAGGCCACUGUGGGAAACACAACCCCCACUCCCAGGAGAGGCCUCACAUGCUGCCUUCGGUCUCGCCAGCCUUCUAGCGUGGGGCCUGGGCCGCCCUUUAGGGUGAGUCUGCACACCCGUGUUCAGGGCUCCCGGCCGGAAGCGGAACCAUAGGCAUGCUGCGGCCCCAGAUGAGCGCGGAGGGCAAGCAGGUGCCGGGGCAGCGCACACCCCACAGCCAAGCGGCCCCUGCCCAGCCUCUGUAAACAGACCCUCACAGGUCCCUCCUGGGCCUCAGUCACAUCCCUGAGAAACACUGGCGGCUCUGCCCCGAGAGGGCCAGGGUGUCCACCGAGCCUGGCUGAAGCCAGCUGUCCCCUCCCUUCUUGCAGAGCAGGCUCACACUGGGCCUGAAGGCCCAGCACCUGCAGGGCCCAGCCUGGGGACCACCAAUGCCCGGCCUCUUCCAGCUCAGAAGCGCACACGGCAGCCACGGGGCAGCGGCAAAGGCGAUGGUACAGAGGCAAAUGCCUCCCCAGGCAGUGACAGGCACGCCCCCCGCCCCAGGGCGGCCACUGCCCACGCCGGCCUAGAGCUCCUCGUAGUCGCCACCCCCAGGGUGGCGGCCGCCCGGGGCCCCGCCCCCCAGGAAAGCCUCCAGCUCAUCGGCAGCCGUCCUCUCCCUGCUGCGCGGGGGCCGCUGCUGCCGCCGUCGCCGCUCCUCCUUGCCCUCCUCCUUGUCCUUGCUCUUCUUGUGUUUGCUCUUCUUCUUGGCAGCUUUUUCUUCUUCCUCUUUGCCUUUUUUCUUCUUCUUCUUCUUCUCCUUAGAGGGGGUUUUGCCCUCCUUACCUUCCUCACUGCUCUCCUUGGGUCCGGCCUCCUCCAGCCCCAGCCCGAAGAGGUCCGAGUCAUUCUUCAGUCUGAAGGCGGGGAGAGGGAGCUUGGGGGGUGGGGGCGGCUCGGCAGGGCCCUCAUCCUCGUCAGUCACAUCGGAGGGGUCAUCUCGCACGGGAAAGUCAUCCGCCCUGCGCUGUGUGUCUGAUCCCUCGCUCUCAAAGUCGGGGUCAUCCAUGACGAAGGACAGCAUUUGUGCAGCAAUGGGUCCCUCGGGGUCACUCUCCGACGAGGAGGCCUGCUCACCCUUCCCCGGCUCCAUCUCAGCAGGGGGCCUGGUGCUGCUGCGCUUCUCCGGACCUUCUUCUCGUCCCUGGCGGGGGUUGUGUCUUCCAGGAAGCUGCGGUCCAGGCGGUCGUCAGGAACAAAGUCCUCCACACUCUGGACCGUUGCUGGGCCCUCUGCGGCCGGGACUGGCUCUGGAGGUGGAGGGGCUGCCUCGGUGGCAGGUGACGUCCCAAACAGCCUAGAGAUGAUGCUGCGCCGUGGGGCGGGGGCUGAGGGGCACGCAGGUGGGGGCAGGGCCUCUGAGGGUGGUACAGGGGGCACAGAGGAUGGUGGGGCGGCAUUGAGGGGCAGCUGUGGGGCGGGCUGGGGUGUGCCGGGGCUGGAGCUCCCCGUGGACACAGCGCCUGCAGGCACCACUGGUGACUGGGAGCCCGGGGAUGGGCUCUGCCCGUUGGCCGCCAGUGGGGACGCAUGGCCACGGCUGCGAGCCUCCAUCAUCUCCAGGAAGAUGCCGUAGUUCUGGUCCUCCGUCUCCUGCUGCACCGACAGCUCCUCCAGCGUGGCGUCCAUGUCCAGCUGGUUCGUCUCCAGCUGCCGCAACAGCGUCUCCCUCUGAAGCUGCAAAAAUGGGAUAUUGAAGAACUUAUGAAGGUACUUUAGGCCGAAGCUGUUCUUCAUGGAAGACUCAGCAUAGCGGAAGUAGGAGGAACCUGGAGGUCUGUCCAGGUUGUCGAUGAAGUCACGCACGUCGUCCGGCAGGAUGACUCGGUGCUCGCCCAUGUCCCGGUAGUUUCCCAGCACGCACACUGGCACGUGGGUGGGCACUUUUGGAAGCUCCCGGAGAAUGUAAUUGAAGGUCCACUGCUUGGUAAUGUCGAACAUCAUGACCACCCCGUUGCAGUUCUUGUACACGUCCAGGAACUCAGCAUCCAGGGCCAUUUCAGACUCCGCCUCCUGGGGGUCGUUCUCCAUCUUUAAGCCGUCGCCUCGCUUUUUGCAUUUUCCUUUGUCUACUACAUCCCAGACUUCAACCUUCACGAUGUCAUCCGUGGUCUUGUAGCUCCAGUGGAUGCUGGUGACCUGGAUCUCCUGUGUGGGGAUGUACUCCUCCACGAACGGCCGGCCCUGCAGGCGGUGCCACAGCGCUGUCUUGCCCGUGUUCCUGUCUCCCCGGAUCACUAUCUUCAUGUUGUACUGCACCCCCUUGGCGAAGCGCCUCUGCAACGCCUGGUUCAUGGACUGCAGCCCGGCGGGGAUGUUCUUGUCCCGGCCCGGGGCCUGGUCCGACCCCACCAGCUUCUUCAGGGCGGAAAACAUCUUCCCGCUCGGACGUCCCAGCCCGGGCGCGGCCGGCGAGCUCAGCGGCGGCGGGGAAGGGGUGCGACUGGCACCAUGUCCCGGCGGCCCCGGCCCCCCCGGAGGCCGGAGCCGGCGCGGCCAGAGGCCGGGGUCCCGGCGGCGGAGCGCAGCCCCGAGCGGCGACUCGGGAACCUCAGCCGCGGCUGCUCCGCUCCGGCCCCCGCGGCCUCCGGCGCGACCGCUCUCCAGGAGUC
RNAcentral lists this long non-coding RNA (2746 nucleotides) under Homo sapiens (human). RNAcentral's name for it is "non-protein coding CCDC183-AS1:4". The record is from RNAcentral. Lineage: Eukaryota; Metazoa; Chordata; Mammalia; Primates; Hominidae.